Molecule: small RNA, 82 nt
Filed under: Megasphaera cerevisiae DSM 20462
Lineage: Bacteria; Bacillati; Bacillota; Negativicutes; Veillonellales; Veillonellaceae
Description: RT-18 RNA
Rfam family: RT-18 RNA
About the family: Clostridiales (Firmicutes).
Source: Rfam by way of RNAcentral
UGCCCCUUGGCAAAAAUAAAUGUUGAAAACGGAACGCUUAGUAGGGUAUAACGCCUCGAAAAGAGUUGAAACAUAACACGAA